GCCUUUGUCUCUAGCUGCAGCCGGCGUUUCAGGUCUCGUCUUCACUGGUCUGUGUCCUAUUCUCCUGGAGGCCCAGCCUCUGUGGCCCUGUGACCUGCAGGUAUUGGGAGAUCCACAGCUAAAACCCCAGGACACCCUGGAAGCAUAGAAAUGUUCUUCAGACAAUCAGUAAAAACAAACUUCUCCAAGCUAAAGGAGGAUGUUCGAAUCCAUCAUAAAGAAGCUGGAAACCUUGAAAAAAGAUUAGAUGAAUGGCUAACUAUAAUAGACAGUGUAGAGAAGACCUUAAAUGACCUGAUAGAGCUGAAAACCAUGGCCCAAAAACUACGUGAUGAAUGCAGAAGCUUGAGUAUCCAAUGUGAUCAACAGGAAGAAAAAGUAUCAGUGAUUGUUAAAAUGAAUGAAAUGAAGCAAGAAGAGAAGUUUAGAGAUAAAAUAAUAAAAAGAAAUGAACAAAGCCUCCAAGAAAUAUGGGACUAUGUGAAAAGACCAAAUCUACGUCUGAUUGGUGUACCUGAAAGUGAUGGGGAGAAUAGAACCAAGUUGGAAAACACUCUGCAGGAUAUUAUCCAGGAGAACUUCCCCAACCUAGCAAGGCAGGCCGACAUUCAAAUUCAGGAAAUACAG
Molecule: long non-coding RNA, 627 nt
Filed under: Homo sapiens (human)
Lineage: Eukaryota; Metazoa; Chordata; Mammalia; Primates; Hominidae
Description: HSALNT0396546
Source: RNAcentral